RNAcentral lists this ribosomal RNA (460 nucleotides) under uncultured bacterium. Its description in RNAcentral is "partial 16S ribosomal RNA". It matches the Rfam family "Bacterial small subunit ribosomal RNA", at positions 338 to 795 of the family's 1533-position model. The record is from RNAcentral.
CCUACGGGUGGCAGCAGUGAGGAAUAUUGGUCAAUGGACGCAAGUCUGAACCAGCCAUGCCGCGUGCAGGAAGACGGCUCUAUGAGUUGUAAACUGCUUUUGUACGAGGGUAAACUCAGAUACGCGUAUCUUUUUGCAAGUAUCGUACGAAUAAGGAUCGGCUAAUUCCGUGCCAGCAGCCGCGGUAAUACGGAGGAUUCAAGCGUUAUCCGGAUUUAGUGGGUUUAAAGGGUGCGUAGGCGGUCGGGUAAGUUAGAGGUGAAAUGCCGAGGCUCAACUUCGGCAUUGCCUCUGAUACUGGUCGGCUAGAGAGUAGUUGAGGUAGGCGGAAUGUAUGGUGUAGCGGUGAAAUGCUUAGAGAUCAUACAGAACACCGAUUGCGAAGGCAGCUUACCAAGCUACUUCUGACGUUGAGGCACGAAAGCGUGGGGAGCAAACAGGAUUAGAUACCCGAGUAGUC